UCGAAAGCAGCAUUAAGGUCUAGGAGCGCGAGGACAGAUGCAGAGUCUCGGUCUGACGCCAUUAAAAGGCCCACCCCUCCUCCCCGUGUCAUCGAUGGCCAUCCGCCGUACACAGUGAGAAGCCUCCUGAGUGAUCGACCACGGGGCAAGGGUUUCCAGUACCUGGUUGACUGGGAGGGUUAUGGCCCAGACAAGAAGUGUUGGGUCCCCACUAGAGACAUUCUGGACCCAGCCCUCAUCGCCGACUUCCACCGCCGGCACCCCGGUCAACCAGGUUUUGACCGUUGCCUGUCCUGACUCUGAGCCCGGCUGCCUGACCACUCUGCCUACCCUGAACUUGCCUGCCGUCCGGUACGGUUGCCCCACCUCUGGUUUACUGACCCCUGCCUGCCUUGACCCGUCUAUUGCCUGCCUCGGUUGGAUUAUUAUUAAACCAUUGUUAAUUCGACAUUGUCUGCAUCUGGGUCUUACCUUCAUACCUGAUAGGAACUCCUUCAAGACUGUUGGAAAAGCAUUCUAGGUGAAGCUGGUUGAGAGAAUGCCAAGUGUGUGCAACGCUGUCAUCAAGGCAAAGAGUGGCUACUUUGAAGAAUCUCAAAUAUAAAAUAAAAAUG
This is a long non-coding RNA of Oncorhynchus tshawytscha (Chinook salmon), 614 nucleotides long. Lineage: Eukaryota; Metazoa; Chordata; Actinopteri; Salmoniformes; Salmonidae. The record is from Ensembl.